RNAcentral lists this ribosomal RNA (560 nucleotides) under Escherichia sp. Its description in RNAcentral is "bacterial SSU rRNA". It matches the Rfam family "Bacterial small subunit ribosomal RNA", at positions 802 to 1362 of the family's 1533-position model. The record is from RNAcentral. Lineage: Bacteria; Pseudomonadati; Pseudomonadota; Gammaproteobacteria; Enterobacterales; Enterobacteriaceae.
GUAAACGAUGUCGACUUGGAGGUUGUGCCCUUGAGGCGUGGCUUCCGGAGCUAACGCGUUAAGUCGACCGCCUGGGGAGUACGGCCGCAAGGUUAAAACUCAAAUGAAUUGACGGGGGCCCGCACAAGCGGUGGAGCAUGUGGUUUAAUUCGAUGCAACGCGAAGAACCUUACCUGGUCUUGACAUCCACAGAACUUUCCAGAGAUGGAUUGGUGCCUUCGGGAACUGUGAGACAGGUGCUGCAUGGCUGUCGUCGGCUCGUGUUGUGAAAUGUUGGGUUAAGUCCCGCAACGAGCGCAACCCUUAUCCUUUGUUGCCAGCGGUCCGGCCGGGAACUCAAAGGAGACUGCCAGUGAUAAACUGGAGGAAGGUGGGGAUGACGUCAAGUCAUCAUGGCCCUUACGACCAGGGCUGCACACGUGCUACAAUGGCGCAUACAAAGAGAAGCGACCUCGCGAGAGCAAGCGGACCUCAUAAAGUGCGUCGUAGUCCGGAUUGGAGUCUGCAACUCGACUCCAUGAAGUCGGAAUCGCUAGUAAUCGUGGAUCAGAAUGCCACGG